Molecule: non-coding RNA, 1230 nt
Organism: Ciona intestinalis (vase tunicate)
Lineage: Eukaryota; Metazoa; Chordata; Ascidiacea; Phlebobranchia; Cionidae
Source: RefSeq, a predicted model, not a curated record
AGCUUACCUGCGUAUUAACAUUUAUGUUAUGACUUUAUACGAUUAAAAAUAAGUAGAUAUGUAUAGUAUCUAUCCAGUCGAGUACCCGGUCUCGGAUCAGCGGUUCGGUAGACUGCGAUGAAUGAAACCUCUGCAGUCGCCCGUCUUUGCCGAAACUCCUCCAACCUAAUCGGCAUGAUGCGUCGCUCGUGAAACAACAGGCAAGUUUGGGGUCUCGAUAUGCUGCGAAUGUACGGAUAUCCGAUUCCCAGAUGGAUCAGUUAUUCUGCAUUAUUCAUCAUUUCAAACUUGAAGGCUUGCUCACAACGAUUGGCGCCGGUGGUGGGACCGUCCAAGGGCCAACGUGCGAUUAAGAGUGAAAAUGUCGAUUUUGCCCCGUCAGCCUGGUGUAUCUGUUCCGGCAGCAGGAUAAGGCGCCCUCGCAUAGUUUAUAAGACAGGGACGUCGAAAUAUUGACUUUAAAAUGCGGCCAGUAAUCCAGUAAUGUCACCGAAGAUCAAAAUUUGCAGCCGGAGAGUCGUGUUGAUACCAGAGUGUUCCAACGUCGUUGCUAAGCGGAUUUUGGAUGCGCGUUUUAGGGGAAAGUCCAUUAGAAAAAAUCGAACCUCGCUGGAUGAGCGAAUGUUAUCGAGAAUUCGUGCGACUGCUUCACAAGAGUUUUCCAAUAAGAAUAUACUGUUGCAUCAAGUCGUGUGCUUUGGGUUCUGACUGCACUUGCUGCAUAUGUUGGUAUAAAGGUUUACCAGCGUUAGAGUGUUGUAUCUAUGUUGCGAAACGAGAUAAAAUCUAAAAGUGACUGCCAGCAUAAAUAAUCUCCGAAACAUCCAUUUUUAAUGUUAUUUAAAGUAGAGACACAAGAUACGACUGCACGUAUUUUUGGCCCCGUCUUAUCAGAAUACACGAGAAAAUAUCCCUAAAAACAACCGUACCGACUAGAUCUAACACAGCUUGUUCUGAAAUUGGACUAUACAACAUAUCUGAGUGAGUUACUGUCACAUGCCUGACCACGUAUAACUUGACUUUGGUAGAUCAUUGUAUAAGGGUCAGUUAUUGAUGUUCAAACUGAUUGGCAUACUCCGCCCCAGGGAGUCUCGUGUUAUAUUGCUUAUUUCCAAAUGAACAAGCAAUUAGGUUUUACCAAAGGGUCUAUAAUGAGUUUGAAGCAAAGGUUUUGGGUUCUAUAUAUGGUAUACUGCCGUUUUUAUACGCUUUUACCCCCCCCCCCCCCCC